RNA transcript from Motacilla alba alba, 5041 nucleotides. It is a transcript of the gene named RecQ mediated genome instability 2, with no coding region annotated. NCBI's taxonomy places the organism in Eukaryota, Metazoa, Chordata, Aves, Passeriformes, Motacillidae. The record is from RefSeq and is a predicted model, not a curated record. The transcript is spliced from 9 exons.
GAGGAUCAGAGCAGGGAGAAGUCUGGUUUAUGUAUUCCUGGUCUUUGGACACAGUGCUUAUGUGUCAGGAAUUUGCUGGUUCCUGGGAACGUUUGUGGAAAUGUUUGAGGAUUCCUCAGCUUGGAAGCUGUCCUUGUCAGACUGCAGGCGACCUACGGGUAAAGAGACCAUUUCUGAGAAACGGAAACUGAGCUCCUCCCUUCCUCGGGCACGACAGAAUGAAAAGUGAAACUACCACUGUCUCUUCAGGGAUUUCAACACAGAUGGUAGAGAAAAGCAGUUUGAGGUGUUACCUGAGUUGGAACUCAGAUCUGGCUCAACUUUGACAGCUGGUUAUUUAAUUCUUCCACCUCUGGCUCCCUGCUAAUGCACCAGGUUUGUGGGUGUGAAUUGACAGUGGUCUGGAGGAAAGGGAGAGGACAGAGUGAGGGAACUGUGGACUUCAGGGCAAACAAGGGAGGAAGCGGAACAGCAGGAUUUAAAAAGACAAUGUCUUAUUGAAAUAUGCCAGCCGGGAUGUGCAGCUUGUUUCCUAAGAACUGGCUUCCAAGCUUUUGACAUUUUCUGGCUAGAUGUCCUCUUGCCAUAGCAGGAAUUCUUCUCCCCUCACGUCAGUGUCCAUUUGGUAUUGAGAGCCAACCUGUACAACUCAGAUGAAAAGCUUUUCUGCACUCAAACUGGUGCAGAGUGCUGCAAAUUCCUUAUUUGACCUUGCUGGUGUGCUUUAUUAAAACUGAGGAUGAGAGAUUUGACAGCUGAAAUUACUACAGAAAUCUCCAGGAGAUUUCUGCUGUGCUCCUUAGAUGUGACACCACCCUUAAAUCAGUGUAUGCAGCCCCGUUGGAGCAGGCGGUGGCCGCGGGCAGGGUCGAGAGGUGCUGCGAGGGAAAUCCGAGAAGGGAAGCGCUCUGAGGCCCCAGGGAGGCCAGGGGACACCAGAGGCAGGGAAGAGCAGUGGAACUGGAGAGUGACUGGAGCCAGCGCAGUUGCAUUUGCAAAAUGUCUGCCCAAAGUCAUUCAGCUGUUUGUUGUGAAUCCAUGUCUGCUGUCCCCCUGCAGAGAAGCACAAGGCCAGCUGUUCCUCCAGCUGUGAUUUUUGCUUUUUCUUUCUGAAGUACCAGUUCCGGGGCCUUCCUGCUGAGCUCUUGGCAGCAUCCUCCCCUCCAAAGCCAUUCUUCUCCCCCUCGGUGUUACUGCCAGCACCAGGAGUUUGAAUAAGCCCAUCUGGAAGCCAGCUCUGCAGACUAUUUCCAGAGCAGCAAACAAUACUGGAAAAGUAAAGACUGAUUAAUUAAUUUUUUCCUUAAUCAUGAUAUAGUCCUAUUCCAUAGAACACUGAUUUAUUUCACUUACAUGCCAGCAUAUAUAUACCAUGGAAAGAAACCAACAGGUGACACCCACUUCUGCAGAACACAAUUGCAGUUCUCUAAGUAUUUCCUCUAAGUAUUCUUCGUAAAUGAAAUGAGUCAGCUAAGCAGGACAGCAUUGCCCUUUUCACAGCCUGCAGGCCCCAUGGCAGGGAUGUGUGGUGAGUGACAGGAACUGGGUAAGUCUGCAUGCCAGUGGGAGCAAUGAAAUUGUUUCUCAUGCUAAGGCUGGCUGUACAAGCUGAGGUUUCCCCCCACUCUCUGAGGAGAUGCUGUUUUUCCUCUCCACAUGCUGGAUGCAGCUGGCAGCUCCUGGCAGCUGCAGGAAGGCUCUUGCCAUAAUCCUCUACAGUUUCCACUAAGCACAAGCUCACAUGCAAUGCAGAGCAUCUCUAUUAGGUUCUCAAGGAAAAAGAGCACUGGGGGGUGCCUUGCUUAUGCUUUGGUUGAUGGUAUUUGCCACAAAAUUAGGUCACCAUAUCUUAGGGUGACUCCUGUGUCGCUCUGAAGUGCAGGUUUUGGCUUCAUGACACCAUGGGAGAGGCCAGACUCUUGUUGUAAGUAGUGGGGUUCUGAUGUCUGUUGCUCACAUUUACCUGCCCUGUCCAAGUCACAUCUAAAAUACCACUUACUCAGAGCCACCUCCUAAUUAAAACCUUGGCAGGUUGCACCUAGAGUUCUCCUGUUUCAGCAUAUGACUUUGCUGGUUCCAGGUCUUUUGAAAUUCCUGGUCAAACACAAUUUUGUAUCCAUCUGCCCGACUGCUCUGCCCCAAAGCAUAAAUUUCAAGCAGCUGUAGCUCAUGUUAGGGAUGUAAAUACAACUGACUUCCAACUCAUUCAUUCCAACUCAUUGAUCCAUUUAUUUCAAAUCAUUAAAUUAAAUGACUUCAGUCAGCAUAUCCACAUUGCAUCUUCUAUGCAAUACAAAUCAAACACCAGAAACAAUGGAAUUUUAUAUUCUUGUGUUUGUGUCCUAUUCUGUGUGUUCUAAAAGCUGUUCUUCAGCAAAGUUUCAUAUGAAUACCAGGGAAAGGAAGACAGUCUCAGAGCCCUCACUUGCAGAGUAAUUACUGCAAAGGAUUGUUUUCACAUCUUGCUUCAGUGAUGCUGAGCUCCCAUGUGCUGCUUCCUUUUUCUGCAUGAGGAUAUGAAAGGCUCAGUCAUAUCCAUUUGCAGUUUACUGUGUGACUGUGGGAAGGCAUUGUUGCUGGAGAUGCCAGAAUAGAGCCUGCUCCAGUCACAUCCUCUGAGUUCUGAAUCCUCUGAGUUUCUGGGCUGACCAGAGACAAGGGUUUUUUUACGGAUCUGUUUUACAGACAUUUGUGGGCCAUUCAGACAUAACCAUUAUGAUCCAUGUAUUUUUCAGCUCCACACUUUGUGACUUUUCUUGCAGUCAGCUGUGCAGCUCACAGCUAGAUCUAUUUCUAAAGCAAGUGCUUACAAAAUACUAAAAAUAAAAUUAAAAAAAAACCAACCUUAUGAUUACUUGGAUUCCAAAUUCUAGAAAAAAAAAUAAAAUUUGUUUGAAAUCCAUUUUGUAACUUCUCAGUACUAGGAAAGAGAAAUAAAAUUGAAGAAGCUGUUCUGUACACAUUGGCCAGUGGACUGGAAAGAAGGAUUUUUAAAAACUCUUUCAGGUAGAACGAAAGGCUGUAAAAGAUCAGACUUCCUGGCCAAGGGAAAUAAGGACUUUUCUGCUUCUGUAAUAUCAGCCUUUUACCAAAAUUAGGGAGAGAAGCAGGGAAUUGCUUCCAUUUUAAGAAGUACUGUCAGUGGCAGCACAAAAAGGUCUGAGCUCAACAGAAAAUUUCAAGUUGCUGCUUCUUUGGAAAUCUCUUUUCACAGAGAUCUGGGGUCAAAUUCUUUUCUAAGCUCUCUUGGCACCAUACCAACAAAACCCUGCCAGUGUAAUUGAGGGAGCCCUUGUACCUGAGGGAGCCCUGACUCCUGCUUUCAUCAGGACUGUGCUGUCUAUGUGUAGUCUGACCUUUUUUCACCCACGCUGUGACCAUCUCGUGUGUGUCAGCCUGAGGAAUAAUGUCCUUGAAGAUUGCUUUGAAGUGAGGUGCAUAUUGUAGUAGCAGACAGGAGAUUGAUUCCUUCUUUUUUAAUCCGUGCAAACCAAAACUCUCACAUUCCGUGCUCUCAAAAAAUCUGCUCAUGUUUAAUCCAGUGUCAUUUAGAGCCUGGCAGCCACCAGCUCUAUGCCUUUUCCAGCUGUGUGCUGAGCUUCCUUUGCUACCCUUAAAUCAGAGGAUGAUCACUGUGGGGUCACCUGCGGAUCAGUCUCUUGAGGCCUCAGACAUUUUCCCUGCAGCUGCAGAAUGUGUCUGUGCUGAGCUGCACCAGGUCUUGGGGAAGAGCUUUGCAAAUAAUUUAGCGUAACUCUGCAUUUUACUGAAAGAUAAGGAUUUUCUGGUUUUGGAAAACAAAUCCAUUUCUUGAUGCAGGUUGACAGUGCUUUUGCCCUUCUUAUAACACCGUUUCUUGAAGGCAAAUCUUUUAAAAGGGACCUUUUAGUCUCUCCUGAAGAUUACAGUCUUGUAGGGGUCUUGCCUUGAUCUGUAGAUUUAAUGGCUUAAUAAGCACUAGACACUCCUAUUAUGCAGUAACAAAUAGGAAUACAAUACUUUUAUCAAUAUUUGGCACAAUUACUUUUUUAUGUGAAAGUAAAUAUUGAUGCUGUCAAGUGACUGCAGCUUAAGGGCAUAAAUUACAAAUAUUCUCCUGUGAGCCCUGCUCAAGUCAUGCAUUCAUAUACAGUAACCAUCUAAUGUCUUUCUAUUCCUGUAAGCUAUAUGGUUUGAUUGCCAGAUUACAUGGUUCUGUAUUGUGCUUAGAUGUCAGUGUUUUUAUUGUUAUUACCAAUACUAUGUUUUAUUCUUACUGUAAGUGGUAACAAAAAAUUAACUGCUUCCUUACACUAUAAAAAGAAUACAGUCCCAUUUACUGAAUGUCUCCAAACAGAAAAUAUAUUUGGAAAAAAAAAAAACCCAACUGAAUAAAUAAUUCACAACAUGAUGGGUGAGUAGGAAAAAAGGUCUUCUGAUGUAUUUUGCUACUCAGGACAAAACCAGAUUUUUAAAAUAAAGUAACUGCCUUUUUGAAUAGAGAAUGAAAGCUCUUCUAAAGAAUGAUUGCAAUCAGUGUCUUUUUACCCAUUCUGCAGUUUUGUAGGUAAUAGGACUUGUGAAAUUAAUGAACCCAUCCCUUUGGUUUUUCUGAUUCUUGUCUUUGUUCCAUCCUCCUGUUUCUUCGUUAGCUUAUUUUUUGGCUUAUUUACUGAAUGAAAUGUCAACCCACCCACCCGAAAGAAACCAUAACAUUUCAAGAAUACCAGACUGCAACAAAGUGAACUAGCCCAUCAGUAAUAAAAACAUACAGUAAAUAAAAUCGUUAAAGCCUUGCAAUUAAAGUCUCCCAUAUUAAAACUGCCCACGGUUUCAGUGCAUUAUGCUCCGGAUUUCCCCAGAAGAGCAUCCCUGGGAAAAUCAGCAUGUGCAUUUUCCUGUUUUCUCACGAAACCGGAGCUUCAUCAGCUCUCAGGGAAGUAUGUAAUGGUGAUGGGUGUGGUGCGGUCCUGCAGUCCGGAGCCCAUUCUUCGAGCAAUAAAGAUGACCGAUCUCUCUGAAAACCCCAUCCAUAAGAAUAUGUGGAACCUUGAAGUGGAGG